GUGAAUGCCCUCACGGGGCUUAACUAUCCAACCAACCUCUGUGAACUGUCGCCCCUCGGGCGCUUCUAUAACAACUAUAACUGUCAUGAACGUCGUAUACAAAAACAAACA
Molecule: unclassified non-coding RNA, 111 nt
Filed under: soil metagenome
Description: partial internal transcribed spacer 1
Source: RNAcentral